Molecule: non-coding RNA, 1021 nt
Organism: Neurospora crassa OR74A
Lineage: Eukaryota; Fungi; Ascomycota; Sordariomycetes; Sordariales; Sordariaceae
Source: RefSeq, a predicted model, not a curated record
GGGGACUCUGGAGGAUCUCCACCAAGGUUUUUGCUGGUUAAGGUGGUAAGCUACAUAAGCUUGGCAAGGCAUGAAGCUCCGAGAUGCGGCGUCCGAGAGACUGAUAGGAAAUCCCAUCUUUUCUUUGAUUCGUCAUUUUCUUUUUUUGUUACAGUUUACUUUCAGUCAACGUUUGCCACUGAUACCGGACGAAAGCGCAGCCUUCCACGUCUAUAUAUCCCUCUCCCACCACCUCCAUUGUGUUGAACGUCUUUGUUCUUGAGCACCCUUUUCUCUCCAUCACCAAAAAGUAAAACUCCAAAUUUGCAAUCCAGCUGCCUGGUACUACCAAACCAGAACAACACUUUAACCACAAUACAAAUCUACUGCCCUUUUCACCCAUUCAAAAUGGAAGUCAAGACCCCCGUCGUCCUCGUUCCCUCCAUGGCCCCUCGCUGCUGCCAGUGCAAGACCAUGCUCGUCAUCAGCAACUCCUGCUGCCACUGCGCCCACCACCAGUGCUCCUCCUGCAUCUAAGCUCCAUCGCAUCCACUCCUUUCGAGCACCUUCACUGGGCCGAUCCAAGAGACAAACAUCGAUACAUCCCAUCGGCAUGAACCUACAUACAUCACUGUCCCUACUUGCGAUUACUCAGUUACUCGCUACAACCUCCACUCAGCCAUCAUGCCCUAACGGCAUUCAUUUCAUCCUCUUUUUGUAACGGGACUGUACGACUAUAUUUGACGACACAAGUUGAAUUUGAUACCCGGCGGAACGAACUUCACUUCGACUACUUGAGAGGUGGUUUCCAUUGAUUUUUUUGGCUUUCACACAACCAUGCAUUGCUUUGGGGGAGAACAGGCGGCGGUCGGAGGUGUGCGGUCGGUUGGUUUCAGCCCGUUUGUUUCUUACCAGCAAGUCAGUUACGAUGACAUCUGGGGGGGUUUGGGCAGCAUUGCGACGCAUUGUUGGAAUUUGUGUAUUCUAUCCUGUACGUAAUAGUAUGGGAAUCGUAACAUUACCUUAACAUCUGAACAUUUGU